Centruroides sculpturatus (bark scorpion) is the source of this 197-nucleotide long non-coding RNA. RefSeq lists it as uncharacterized. NCBI's taxonomy places the organism in Eukaryota, Metazoa, Arthropoda, Arachnida, Scorpiones, Buthidae. The record is from RefSeq and is a predicted model, not a curated record. The transcript has 3 exons.
UAUGAAAAUGUUUGUCUUUAAUUGAAAAUAAUUAUUUUACAGGAAAAUUUUGGGGUCAGAUGUUGAAAAUGAAGCAUCAGAUGCUGAAGAUAGUGAUAGUGAAAGUGAUAAGAGUGAUAACGAAUCAAAAGUAGGAGAAUUAAUAGCAGAUAUCUUUGGAGAGAGUGAUGAAGAUGAAGAAUUUGAAGUAUGUAAAU